UACAGAGGUCUCAAGCGUUGGUCGGAUGCAUUGGGCGUAAAGGGGGCGUAGGCGGCGCGGUAAGUCGGGUGUGAAAUCUCGGAGCUUAACUCCGAAACUGCAUUCGAUACUGCCGUGCUUGAGGACUGGAGAGGAGACUGGAAUUUACGGUGUAGCGGUGAAAUGCGUAGAUAUCGUAAGGAAGACCAGUGGCGAAGGCGGGUCUCUGGACAGUUCCUGACACUGAGACACGAAGGCCAGGGGAGCAAACGGG
RNAcentral lists this ribosomal RNA (253 nucleotides) under uncultured bacterium. Its description in RNAcentral is "partial 16S ribosomal RNA". It matches the Rfam family "Bacterial small subunit ribosomal RNA", at positions 524 to 776 of the family's 1533-position model. The record is from RNAcentral.